GGGCAAUGCUGCCGAUUCCCAAUGAAACCACUAUAAGUGGAGAAGUUCUCAGUCUCUAGGGACAUGAAUGCACAAGAUGAAUGUCCCUCCCACCUUUAUGAUGGCUGCUAAGUACUAAGCUGCUCUGCCGUGUGAAAGCUAGGACUUUACCUCAACUGAAUUCACAGAAACCUAUUUUAGCUGCUGAAUAAUCUGAAGCCCACAAGACUGCUAGCAGCAGCAACAUCACUGAAUUCUGACAUCUUCCAGUGUCACUGAAGAGUCAUUCUCACGUUCUGCUCUUCAAUAGCACCUGGUGGUGGACUUUGAUGAAGGAAAAAAACCUCUGGACAUUCUGGAAAAAAAUCUAUUGAAUAAAUCCAACAACUUCUGUGAUCCUGCAACAGCUACAAAGUCUGCACACAUAAAUAAAUUGAUUUAUGGACUUUUGUGCGUUCUGUAGAGGAACCAUUGAUUGCAUAUAUUGUCAGUGCAAUGUAUAGGCUCAUCUCCAAAUGUACCCAACCUCUGUUCAUGCUAUGAAGGAGUGGAGUGUUGGGGAACUGUUAGGUCGUGGCUUGAAUUGGUGAUUGAACACCUGCUGAAAGGGUGUGGCUGGCCCAGGGAUCACAGGAAAAGUUCUGGCACCUGUGCUCCCAGUGAGACCAGAAUAGGUAGAACAACCCUGGGCUCAUAUAAGGGCCAACCACUGAUGAGAGUGGCUCUUUGUCCUAGGCUGCUUUCUGAGAAGGGGUGCUGUAUAGCUAGAGACCCCCCUUCACCAGUUGGGUGAGUUCAUCUCUCCUUUUGUAUGAUUAUAGGCCUAUUUGUGACUACUUUGCCUGGUAUCAUUGAGAACCUGUCAGAAGAAAUUUUGCUUCUUUGUGAGCAGAACAGACACCACAGCAGCAGUUCACUGUCAUAGAAUCACAGAAGGGCUGAGGCUGUCCAAUGGAACACCCAGACCAAGGUGCCUGAGACAGGAUUUUGAAGAUCCUGAAGGAGGAGAUCCACAGCCUCUGGGUCCCUGUGUCACUGCUCCAUUGCCUGCACAGCACUGAAGUGCUGUGUAACGGUCAGAGGCAGCCUCCUGUGUUCUACUUUUUUCCCUGAACUUCUUGUCUUGGCACUGGACAGAGCCUGACUGUCCUCUGGUCACUAUCCUUUUGGUAUUUACGGACAGUGAUGACAACCCCAUGAGCCUUCUCUUCUCCAGGUUGAGCAGUUCCAGAUCUCCUUGCCUCACCUCACAGGAAAGAUGGCCCAGUCCAUCAGUUGUCUUUGUGACCCUUUGCUGGACUCACUCCAGUAUGUUCAGGUUUCUCUUUUAGAGGGAAGUUCAGAACUGGACCUAGGACUCCAAGUGUGGCCUCGUUAGCGAUGAACACUAGAGAAGGAUCGCCUCACUCUACCUGCUGACAGCACUCCUCCUAAUACAGACAAGUGUACGGGUAAAGUCACAUAGCCAGCUCAUGUUCAGAAGAUCCAUGGAAUCUUUUGGUUUUCUUAGGGCACGUGUAACCUGCAGUACUCAAGAGCUUCUGUUUAAAUAGCCUUUCUGCACCACCUAUAUUGGUCAGAGGAGGGAAACUUUUAACUUUCCAAGUUGAUCUCUGCCACAGAACAGAUCCUCUGCCUGCCCUGUAUUCUGGUGAACAAUGUGUACAGUGUUUCAUGUUCCAGAAGGAGAUGGAUGAAGGGUUCCAGGAAACUGAAGUGCUUCUGAGAGCCCUGUGCUGCUCCUGUACACGUUUAAUGACUCUAAAGGAAAGCAGGUUCUAUAAAAUGUCCUACAGUUUCAUCUGUGUUUCUGAAAUGCAGCAGCAUUUGCUUGAUGUUACAGCAUGAACUUUAGCCCAGCUGGGUAGUUUGUCUUCAAGCAACACAAAUGCCUGACUGUCAGAAAUACCUUCAAUAUUAAACUCUGUGCCUUUAAGGGGGGUACAUUUGGCAUUAAACAGACUUACCAGCUAAUGAAUUUCUCAAGUUACAAGAAUAAUGGCCUUUUUAAUCUUAGCAAGAAUAAUUAAACAGACAUUUGUUAUUAAUGAUGUUGUUAAUGGCAGCAGAUAUUGAAUUUUCUCUGUAGAUAUCAUAAAGUUGUGUGGUGAUUUUUUUGGAGGUUUUUGUUAACUUGAUUGGGCAGUGAAGCUAAAAAUGUAGAAUAUAAUUUUUUCUUCCUUCUGGAGGUAUUAAUUUUUGCCACAUAUCUAGAAGACUCUUCUUUGCCUUCAUUUUAUUCUUAUUGGAGAUCCUUGCCUUUGCCUUCCUUCACUGGCUAAUCUGAUAGCAAACAGACUAGGUCAGCCUUCUACCACCUGUGAGUAGCCUGGAAUGAUUCCUGUAGGAAGGAAUGUGAAUGGCAGCAACUAUUUCUGCAGUCCUUACACUGGGUUUGCUGAAAGUUCUUGUUUGUGUUUUGCCUCAGGGAAAUAUGAGUUUGUUGCAUGUCCAGGGACCAUGCCGAUCUGUGCUCUCCCCUGUUCUCUGAUUGUCUGGGAUUGCAUGCAAAUACUGACAGGGUGCAACGCAUUCUCCAGGAAGCAGUUACUCAACCCUGGUCAAUGCUGUGGAGCAGUCAGCAGCUCCAGCGGUGUCCCUGUGGAGGAGUCUCCUUCACUCUGCUUCUCUUACACAUUCAUUUUCUGUACUAUGGUUUCAGAUAUCCCUAUGCUAGGCUUCCUGCUCAUUGCUUUUUCCCUUGGUUUGUGGAAAUCACUUGUCAGUAGUUAUGGUAAUCACAACAUCUUGUGGUCUUUCCUUUACUAGUCCUCAGGGAAAUGACAUGUGGGUUUAUUAGUGUGUGGGUUUCUCAGACCUUUGUGAUGGGAAGACAAUUUAAUCAGAAUAAUUUUUCCAUGAAAUGAAGGCCUUUUCUGACCAGGCUUAGAAACAGCUUUUUCAGUGGCAUGGGACCCUGCUUGACUCAUGUGCCUUUCACAUCUUAAUUUCUCCUGAGAAAAAUGCUUUACAAAAGCUUUAAGAAAUCCUCUGAAGUCCAGAGACCAGGAUUUGUCUGCUUUUGGAUUGUGUCUGUCAGUGGCUGCUUUCCAAGCUCUCAUGUUUCUGUGAAUUCCAGUUUACACCUUUUAAAAGCACUCCUUCUGAUUUGGCUUGCUCUCCUCCUGGGUUUGCUCUCUGCUCCCAGCCCGUUCCAAUCACAUGCAAAACCUGCAGCUUCUGCUGGUCCUCCAAGUAUUACUUUACAUUUUAAAGAAGGGGAAAACCCCCUAAGCAAGACAAAGAGCCCUGGCAUUAGUUGCUAAUUUCCCUUUCUCUGUCAAGAUUAUGUUAGUAGCUCUGAGUAAUUUGGUCUGAUUUUCUCAGGGGACUAGGACUGAAAUAAUGCAAUGUUUAUUUUUAUACAAAUUCUCACAGUGCUACAAUGUUUCAGAGACUUCCUGGGAUGUUUCUAGUUUUUUUUUUCACAGACGAAAAGGCUGUUCUCAGAGGUAGCUCCUUCAUGUAAACCUAAAAAUGGCACUUUCCCACAAUACAGCUUAUCAGGAAGUUUAAAGUUCAGUAGUCUCUCUCUCGCUCUCUCUCCCUGUCUCACACACAUGAAAGUAAAGAAUAAAAAAUGAAGGGGCUGUUCCAGUUCUGCUGAGAGUUGCUUUUCAAUCAUACUGUUUCAGUGUGCUGACUGAUCAUAAUGGCUUGGUGGGGCCUGUGAUGGCCUAACAACAGAAUGAGGCAACAUUUGUGGAGAAAUAUAGCCACUUUUAUUCAAUAAAUUGUGAUGGAUUCACUCAGUGAGUUACGAGUGCUCAUAACGCUGCUCUUGCUUACACACAUAUGGAUAUGGGCAUAAAGCUAACCUCACUACUAAGGCAUUAAAAUUGGAAUGUCAUGAUUCUGCUGCCUCCUGAGUGUCUGAAAUGGUUUGAUUAGGAAUAACUAAG
Long non-coding RNA from Gallus gallus (chicken), 3881 nucleotides. Lineage: Eukaryota; Metazoa; Chordata; Aves; Galliformes; Phasianidae. The record is from Ensembl.